ACGGCUCAGUAACACGUAGUCAACAUGCCCAGGGGACGUGGAUAACCUCGGGAAACUGAGGAUAAACCGCGAUAGGUCAUCACUUCUGGAAUGGGUAAUGACUUAAAUCUAUAUGGCCCCUGGAUUGGACUGCGGCCGAUCAGGCUGUUGGUGAGGUAAUGGCCCACCAAACCUGUAACCGGUACGGGCUCUGAGAGGAGGAGCCCGGAGAUGGGCACUGAGACAAGGGCCCAGGCCCUAUGGGGCGCAGCAGGCGCGAAACCUCUGCAAUAGGCGAAAGCUUGACAGGGUUACUCUGAGUGAUUUCCGUUAAGGAGAUCUUUUGGCACCUCUAAAAAUGGUGCAGAAUAAGGGGUGGGCAAGUCUGGUGUCAGCCGCCGCGGUAAUACCAGCACCCCGAGUGGUCAGGACGUUUAUUGGGCCUAAAGCAUCCGUAGCCGGCUCUGCAAGUCUUCGGUUAAAUCCACCUGCUCAACAGAUGGGCCGCUGGAGAUACUACAGAGCUAGGGAGUGGGAGAGGCAGACGGUAUUCAGUGGGUAGGGGUAAAAUCCGUUGAUCCAUUGAAGACCACCAGUGGCGAAGGCGGCUUGCCAGAACGCGCUCGACGGUGAGGGAUGAAAGCUGGGGGAGCAAACCGGAUUAGAUACCCGGGUAGUCCCAGCUGUAAACGAUGCAGACUCGGUGAUGAACAGGCUUCGUGCCUGUUCAGUGCCGCAGGGAAGCCGUUAAGUCUGCCGCCUGGGGAGUACGGUCGCAAGACUGAAACUUAAAGGAAUUGGCGGGGGAG
RNAcentral lists this ribosomal RNA (788 nucleotides) under uncultured archaeon. RNAcentral describes it as "bacterial SSU rRNA". It matches the Rfam family "Archaeal small subunit ribosomal RNA", at positions 85 to 876 of the family's 1478-position model. The record is from RNAcentral.